This is a long non-coding RNA of Cuculus canorus (common cuckoo), 960 nucleotides long. RefSeq lists it as uncharacterized. The record is from RefSeq and is a predicted model, not a curated record. Lineage: Eukaryota; Metazoa; Chordata; Aves; Cuculiformes; Cuculidae. The transcript has 3 exons.
GGUAGGUAGAGAGAAGGGAACUGCCUUGCAAAAGGUCGCAGAGCAAGGAAAAGCAGUACUUUGAACACCCCAAAGGCUCCAGUCAGUUGGUCAAGGAGCCUCUCAUCCCAGUGUUAUGUCAAAGUUCAUCCCUGCAAAAUCUGUUGAGGACACGAGCAAUAGCUUUUAAUUGGUACCCAUGAAUACUUUAUCUAGGUCUGAGACUCAGCGACUACAGUGCCCUCAUUAUCAGUGCCUGGACCAACCCAUCCCUGAUAUAAAUAAUACAGGAUAAUUCCCAACAUCUAAAAAUAUUCUAUCCUCAGCUGUUCCCACCUUCAUCCUAUCGAUCAGAAGGUCUGCGUGUUUACAACAGCUCAUACAGAAAAUGAAGUUUAACUAUCUUCAUUUCAAGUACUGAAACCGCCUCUUUUCAGGACACUGCCAUGUAAGUUACAGCUUUUAUCACCAACUCCUUAAUAGUUGCCAGGUUCUUUGAAGUCCUUUGAAAGUGAACACAAUAAAAAGAUAUGAGCCGAGAUUGACCACAAGUUUCAUUUCUGCAGGUUCCUACGUGCCUUUGUUGGUCUUUUCAGCAAGCGAAUGGAAACCAAUUCUGUAUCUUCAAGACCAGACAAUGACAUUUUAGAGUUCCCCUGACUGGUAACAAGAGAGAAUAGAUGCAGCUUUACAGCAGCCAAUGCAUCACUACCUCUCAACUUUACCGUUAGCCUCAGGGUAGCGGAUGUCUGGAUUUAGAUCUGCAUCACCUGCAAAACCUGGUCAGCAGUGCCUGGUGAUAUUACAGCUGCAUGGCAGAGAGAAAGAGCAUCCGUGUGCAGGGACACAGGAGAGACAGCAUGGAAAGGAGCAGAAGAGCCCAGAGCUGGAGCUGGCAGGCUGCAGAAGAGCCCAGAGGCUGCUGUGGGCACUGCUGGGAGCCCCCCUUCCUCCAUGGGCUGCCCACCCUGUCUGCCCAGG